Molecule: long non-coding RNA, 549 nt
Organism: Varanus komodoensis (Komodo dragon)
Lineage: Eukaryota; Metazoa; Chordata; Lepidosauria; Squamata; Varanidae
Exons: 3
Source: RefSeq, a predicted model, not a curated record
GGACGGAUGUGGAGGGGCUGAGCAUGCUCCGUUGUAGGAGCUGAAGCCAAGCACGCUUUUCCCGUCUCUGCCCUCAAGGCAAGAAUGGAGCAAAGGCACUGGGGGAGCUUUGGUGCAAGUCUAGGGCAAGUCUAUUUAGCCAUGAGCCUUCUGAGCUCAGUUGGGACCAACUUCCAGGUGCUGUUUGUCAUCCGGUUGCUGGAUUAGUGUGACCAGUAGUGCUGGGCUGGGUGUCUGCCCAUCUGGGUUCUGGUCCUGUCACGGCCAUGAACUUCACUGACUAACUCCCAAGGUGGUUGUGAGGAUAACAUAGAGAGGAGAAAGAUCAUAUCACAGAAAUGUAUUAGGUGGUUGUUGCAAGAUGAGAACACGAGAAGCCCUCACAGACAGCUCAGUGCUGUUCUUCCAUCUGUGUCAAGAGACAAGCGCUGGUGGAUCCAACUGCCACUUUGUCAUCCCUUCAUUAUUGCCCUUUCUAGUUGGCCCCAUUUUAUCAGGGAAAGACAUAAAUGCAAUAAUAAACAAGUCAAUAAACAUUUGUGGUCAGUA